GACGAACGCUGGCGGCGUGCCUAAUACAUGCAAGUUGAGCGCUGAAGGUUGGUACUUGUACCGACUGGAUGAGCAGCGAACGGGUGAGUAACGCGUGGGGAAUCUGCCUUUGAGCGGGGGACAACAUUUGGAAACGAAUGCUAAUACCGCAUAAAACUUUAAACACAAGUUUUAAGUUUGAAAGAUGCAAUUGCAUCACUCAAAGAUGAUCCCGAGUUGUAUUAGCUAGUUGGUGAGGUAAAGGCUCACCAAGGCGAUGAUACAUAGCCGACCUGAGAGGGUGAUCGGCCACAUUGGGACUGAGACACGGCCCAAACUCCUACGGGAGGCAGCAGUAGGGAAUCUUCGGCAAUGGACGAAAGUCUGACCGAGCAACGCCGCGUGAGUGAAGAAGGUUUUCGGAUCGUAAAACUCUGUUGGUAGAGAAGAACGUUGGUGAGAGUGGAAAGCUCAUCAAGUGACGGUAACUACCCAGAAAGGGACGGCUAACUACGUGCCAGCCGCCGCGGUAA
Molecule: ribosomal RNA, 512 nt
Filed under: uncultured bacterium
Lineage: Bacteria
Description: partial 16S ribosomal RNA
Rfam family: Bacterial small subunit ribosomal RNA
Source: RNAcentral